GUCCGCCUCCGCUUCUGCAAAGUUGGGGAGAUGCAGCCCUAGCUGGGACUUGGCUUCACUCUGGAGCUGGGCACCGCAUGGAAAAAGAGGACGAAAAGCCUGAGUUCUCAAGCGUACUCAGUACUGGGGGAGACUGAGGUACACACAGUGACUCAGGGAAGAAUGAACAGAGCUUCAAGGAAGGCAACACCUCAACUGUGCCUUGAAGAAUCAGUAGGAAUUUGGCCAGAGCAAUUUUUGUGACUACCACUUCUUCC
Molecule: long non-coding RNA, 257 nt
Organism: Lemur catta (Ring-tailed lemur)
Lineage: Eukaryota; Metazoa; Chordata; Mammalia; Primates; Lemuridae
Exons: 3
Source: RefSeq, a predicted model, not a curated record